CAGUCGUACCUGCGGAUAAUCAGCCUUUAGGAUGCGAUUUUGUGGAGCGUGAGGAGCUAAUCGCCUUCAUGCCUAUAUAUUCGUGUACUUGGGGUGUACUUAUUCGUGAGGUAAGUUAACAUCAAUUUUGGUCGUUAUAAAAUGACCGGAGGAAUGUAGCUUCGAUCUCGUAUUGAAGUGUUAUAGCCUCUUGUUGUACACGGUGCCUGGGAUUGAGGACUGCAGCACGCCUUUGGUAGGGGUUCGCCCACUCCACGUGCUUAGGAUGCUGGCGUAAUGGCUUUAAACGACCCGUCUUGAAACACGGACCAAGGAGUCUAACAUAUAUGCGAGUGUU
This 337-nucleotide ribosomal RNA is filed under the name Glomus sp. (unid). Lineage: Eukaryota; Fungi; Glomeromycota; Glomeromycetes; Glomerales; Glomeraceae. The record is from RNAcentral.